GGUCCCAUAGUUAAAUGGAUAUAACGGCUCUUUCCUAAAGAGCAAUUGCAAGUUCGAUUCUUGCUGGGACUA
This 72-nucleotide transfer RNA is filed under the name Pseudomonadota bacterium. RNAcentral's name for it is "Proteobacteria bacterium (wastewater metagenome) tRNA-Arg". It matches the Rfam family "tRNA". Rfam says of the family: Transfer RNA (tRNA) molecules are approximately 80 nucleotides in length. Their secondary structure includes four short double-helical elements and three loops (D, anti-codon, and T loops). Further hydrogen bonds mediate the characteristic L-shaped molecular structure. tRNAs have two regions of fundamental functional importance: the anti-codon, which is responsible for specific mRNA codon recognition, and the 3' end, to which the tRNAs corresponding amino acid is attached (by aminoacyl-tRNA synthetases). tRNAs cope with the degeneracy of the genetic code in two manners: having more than one tRNA (with a specific anti-codon) for a particular amino acid; and 'wobble' base-pairing, i.e. permitting non-standard base-pairing at the 3rd anti-codon position. Lineage: Bacteria; Pseudomonadati; Pseudomonadota. The record is from RNAcentral.